Non-coding RNA from Thamnophis sirtalis, 1141 nucleotides. The record is from RefSeq and is a predicted model, not a curated record. NCBI's taxonomy places the organism in Eukaryota, Metazoa, Chordata, Lepidosauria, Squamata, Natricidae.
AACUUCUAUUAUAAUUUAGCCUGCCUGGAUUUGAGAUGUUCUGUGAGCGAUUCCAUUGCCUCUUGUUUCUUUGUUCCUUAAUGUUUGUCUGAAGUAUUGAGUUUAGCCGUGUGGGGACAAAAAUCUUGGAAACCCUGGCUUCUAUCAGGCAUUUUGGAUAUUGCAAGCUUGAGUUUACUGAGUGAUAAGAAGGAUCUCAACAAACGUGAACGAAUGGAGCUGAAACGCCGGACUAUCCUGCUACUGUAUUACCUAUUAAGAUCCCCCUUCUAUGACAGAUACUCUGAGGGUAGGAUCCUCUUUCUUCUGCGCUUGUUGGCAGAUUAUGUCCCUGGUGUCGGCCUAGUGACUCGUAAGUAGAAGUCUGCCAGUUCCCCCCCCCCCCAAAAAAGAUAACGUUUAUCGGUGAAGGAAAUCAUGAGGAUGGAGUCUCCUCCUCUCUGUAUGCUUGUCUGAAGAAUCUCUGUAUAUUUACAUGAGGGAGAGUUGAAAUGCCUAUAGAUCAGGGGUGUCAAACUUGUGGCAUCAUGUUGUCACAUGAUGUAUCGCGACUUUCCCCCCCCUUUGCUAAACUGGGCGUGGUCAGCACAUGACACAUCUGGCCUGCAGGCCGUGAGAUUGAUACCCCUACAAUAGAUGAAGGCAAAGUUGGAAAUGUUGAAUUUGUUUGAUGUCGUCACUGAGGAUUUUGAAAUGUCUCCCCAGAAUCUCUAAUUGGUUCCUCAGUUAUAUUGACAGUGAGACAUUGGACUUGUUUUAUCAGGCUUGCUUAGUGAAGGAUGUCUGGGAUCUACAAAACCUUAUCUUCCAUUAUCAUGUUAACAGUCAGAGAGCCUAAAUGUUUUGGAUCUAGCAUCUGGAAAUUUCUAGGCAAUAUCUAGAAAUGCAGGUUAUUACAUGAAUAAGAUAAAUGCAUAACAUUCAGGGUUCCCCCACUCACCUGUAAGGUUGCUACUUGUUCUUACCCAGGCUUCCCGAGAGCAUGAACCGGUCUCCUUUUCUCGACAAAAAACCCUUUUAUUAAUUUACUGUGGAUUCUGCUCAUUUGCAUCCAGCAAUGUCUUUCAAGCAAUGUCUUUCAAGGGAGGAUUUACAGUUACAGACUUUAUCUGGCUUGGAGAGCUGACAGGACGAUAUUUGC